AUUGAACGCUGGCGGCAGGCCUAACACAUGCAAGUCGAGCGGAUGAAGGGAGCUUGCUCCUGGAUUCAGCGGCGGACGGUUGAGUAAUGCCUAGGAAUCUGCCUGGUAGUGGGGGAUAACGUCCGGAAACGGGCGCUAAUACCGCAUACGUCCUGAGGGAGAAAGUGGGGGAUCUUCGGACCUCCCGCUAUCAGAUGAGCCUAGGUCGGAUUAGCUAGUUGGUGGGGUAAAGGCCUACCAAGGCGACGAUCCGUAACUGGUCUGAGAGGAUGAUCAGUCACACUGGAACUGAGACACGGUCCAGACUCCUACGGGAGGCAGCAGUGGGGAAUAUUGGACAAUGGGCGAAAGCCUGAUCCAGCCAUGCCGCGUGUGUGAAGAAGGUCUUCGGAUUGUAAAGCACUUUAAGUUGGGAGGAAGGGCAGUAAGUUAAUACCUUGCUGUUUUGACGUUACCAACAGAAUAAGCACCGGCUAACUUCGUG
This 484-nucleotide ribosomal RNA is filed under the name uncultured bacterium. RNAcentral's name for it is "partial 16S ribosomal RNA". It matches the Rfam family "Bacterial small subunit ribosomal RNA", at positions 30 to 507 of the family's 1533-position model. The record is from RNAcentral.